AGCACACAGCAAGAAGGAGGCCAUCAGCAAACUGGGAAGAGGACCCUCACCAGGAACCACAUCUGCCAGCACCUUGAUCUUGAACUUCUCAGCCUCCAGAACGAUCACAAUGGAAGCAGAAAUCACCUUGCUCAUUGUUGACAAUAGCUUUGCCAUGUGCAAGUCUGCCUUUGCUGGGGACAAUGCCCUCAAGUCAUGUUCCUCUCCAUUGUCAGGCACCCCUGGCACCAGGGCAUGAUGGUGGGCAGGGGCUAGGACUCCUAUGUGGGCGAUGAGGCCCAGAGCAAGCAGCAUCCUGAUCCUGAAGCACCCCAUGGAGCAGGCCUCAUCACCAACUGGGACCACAUGGGGAAGAUCUAGCACCAUACCUUCCGCAAUGGGCUGCACGUGGCCCCUAAGGAGCAACUGGUGCUGCUGACCGAGGCCCCCGAGCCCCAAGGCCAACAGAGAGAAGAUGAUUCAGAUCAUGUUUGGGGCCUUCAACACCCCAGUCAAGUACAGGGCCAUUCAGGUCACCCUGUCCCUGCAUGCCUCUGUCAGUGCCAUUGGCACCAUGGGGGACUCAGGCGAUGGGGUCACCCACACUUGCCCAUCUCCAAGGAUACAGCCACCCUCUCCCAGUCAUCCUGUGUUUGGCCCUGGCUGGCCGGGACCUGGCCGACUACGUGGUGAAGAUCCUCGAGGGGCCCGCUACAGCUUCAUCACCACAGUGAAGUGGGGGAUUGUGCGUGACAUCCAGGAAAAGCUAUGCUGUGUUGCCUUGGACUUGCAGCAGGAGAUGGCCACUGCCGUGUCCUCUUCCUUCCUGGAGAAGAGCUACAAGCUCUCCCACAGCCUGGUGGUCACCAUCAGCAAUGAGUGGUUCUGGUGUCCAGAGGCGCUGUCCCAGCCCUCCUUCCUGGGCAUGGAAUCUUGCUGCAUCCAGGAGACCAUCUUGACCUCCAUCAUGAAGUGUGAUGUGGAUAUCUGCAAGGACCUGUACACCAAUGUGGUGCUGUCUGGCAGCAUUGCCAUGCACCCAAGUAUCACACACAGGAUGUAGAAGGAGAUCACUGCCCCAGCACCCAGGACCAUGAAGAUCAAGAUCAUGGCUGUCUCUGAGCACAAGUAUUCCAUGUGGAUCAGCAGCUCCAUCCUGGCCUCACUGUCCACCUUCCAGCCAAUGUGGAUCAGCAAGCGGGAGUGCCACCAGUCAGGCCCCUCCACUGUUCACCGCAAAUGCUUCUAAAUGGACUGUGAUGAGAUACGUAGCCUGUGCUGCCUGAGUCAAUUCAGAAGUACAAAUUUGUCCCUGGAAAAUGUAUACAUCUCAUGCUAGCCUUAGGAAACUGGAAUAAGCCUUUGAAAAGAAAUUUGUCAGGCUGGGUGCAGUGGCUCAUGCCUGUAAUCCCAGCACUUUUGGAGGCCCAGGCGGGCGGAUCACCUGAGGUCGGGAGUUUGAGACCAGCCUGACCAACAUGGAGAAACCCCGUCUCUACUAAAAAUACAAAAUUAGCCGAGCAUAGUGGCACAUGCCUGUAAUCCCAGCUACUCGGGAGGCUGAGGCAGGAGAAUCGCUUAAACCUGGGAGGCAGAGGUGAGCUGAGAUCGCGUCAUUGCACUCCAGCCUGGGCAACAAGAGUGAAACUCCGUCUCAAAAAAAAAAAAAAAAAAAAGAAAAGA
Homo sapiens (human) is the source of this 1662-nucleotide long non-coding RNA. Ensembl annotates it as actin gamma 1 pseudogene 17. Its record names the gene ACTG1P17. The record is from Ensembl. NCBI's taxonomy places the organism in Eukaryota, Metazoa, Chordata, Mammalia, Primates, Hominidae.